Ciona intestinalis (vase tunicate) is the source of this 782-nucleotide non-coding RNA. The record is from RefSeq and is a predicted model, not a curated record. Lineage: Eukaryota; Metazoa; Chordata; Ascidiacea; Phlebobranchia; Cionidae.
CCCAUGUUAUAACUCGACAGUGAGCAUGAGGUGUAUGAAUACACCAUGUGUGUCUGGUGUAUAAAAGACACCUACGUUAUAACUUAGCAGUGAACAUGAGGUGUAUGAAUGUACCAUGUGUGACCGGUUAUAACCAGACACCUAUGUUAUAACUCGAAAUGAGGUGUAAAGGAGAGGCUAAAGUGAUAACUUGGUAUUUAGGCAUAAUGUGACACCAACACAUUAUGUAUACAACAGAACAUCCAACUAUACAUGUUACCAUGCUAUAAAAGCACUUAUAACAAGAACAGAACAAAUAAAGAUCUUUUGUAUCCUCAAAAUUAUUGGGUCGUACAGUAUUUUAUUUGAUAAAAUUGUCUUCCAAAUUACAAACGAAUACGCUACAGUAUACCUAAUGUUGGUCAAAGUUUCUUAAAUUAGCACAGGGCAAAGCGAACAGCAGUUUAAAGCAUUCACUAGAUAAUAUAGAACUUUUAUACUUGGCGCACAUGUAACAGUAGCAUCUGUGUUGGGAAAGAAAAAAGUUUUCAUAACCGAAAACUUGUUUCCCCUCGAAAAAAAAGAUUUAAAAAUCUGAAAUCUGACGCUUUUUGUCGAGAAUUUGAAACACAGAACAGACACAUGCUAACUACAACACAGCGGACAAUGAAUUGGGAAUUUUUUUGAGAAUUUUUGAGUGAAAAAAUUAUGGGGUGAAACACGCCUGGGGUGUGGCAUGGGCCAUGGGUGAUAUCUACAUAAGUGGGGGCUCAUUUACAAGAAGUAAUCAGGGGUACGGCGGG